Molecule: long non-coding RNA, 978 nt
Organism: Astyanax mexicanus (Mexican tetra)
Lineage: Eukaryota; Metazoa; Chordata; Actinopteri; Characiformes; Acestrorhamphidae
Exons: 2
Source: RefSeq, a predicted model, not a curated record
CUGUCAUAAUUUUCUAAUUUCUAGUUCUAAUUAGAUACUCCUGUUCUAGACUUAAAAACUAACUUGUUUAGGUUAGCUUUUGGUAAUUACAUUUUUUUUUCUCUUUAGGUAAGGCUGCAGAUCCAGAAGUUCAUGGACAGAGGGAAUUGUGUUAAACUGAGAUGCUGGUGCUGUUGUUCGCCCACUGCUCACAAUCACUCAGAAAUUAACACACUACAGGAAGCAGAAGGGGGCAGAAAUUGAGACUCUCACCACUGCAGGGAUGUUGACAGUCCGGAUGAGGUCAUCCUCUGAGCCUCGUGACAUGUUAGGCUCAAACACGUAGGUUUUAGGAUUGACUGCAGCUACUUUGGUACCGUUCUCCAUAAAGGUCACAUUCUCCAUUGGCCGAUACUCUCUUUAAAAGGAGGAAGUGAAAAUAGUGAAGUACAUUUCGUGAUUAUCUUUAACUAAUACAACAGCUUUAGAAACAUUUAUGAGGUUUUAUGGUUGGCUAGAGAUGUGAUAUUUGACAGAACAUGACAUUGGGUGUAGCCUGAGCAGUCAAAAAACUGAAUUAUGCUCAUACUUUCCGAAAUAAUAAAGCAAAUGUGUUUUCCACAACAGAUAAAACACUUUCAUCUUACUCUCUUGAAUAAAUGGAAAUACAUAGAUGGCACACUAAUAUGGAUGGAGAUAAGUGUGAUUAAGUGAUUAGAUAAGGAAUGAACAAAUCUUGAUAUAAAUGGAGAUGUCUUUGGAUGGGGAUGGAAGAAGAUAUGGUUAAGAAUAUUUACAUUGACAUUGCAACACUGAAGAAGCAUAGAUCUCUUAUUUAAGAACAAUGUUUCUUAAGAACAGAUCUAUGAAAGAUUAAAACAUGAACAAAGUGAACAAUGAUCCACAGGGCUAAACAUCUGUAAAUUAGGCUACAAUAAUUAUGUCUGAAUGACUUCUAAUAUAAUUUAGCAUGGUUAAAGAAUAAAUACACUUUCUAAA